UUGGUAAGGUAACGGCUUACCAAGGCGACGAUCAGUAGCCGGCCUGAGAGGGUGAACGGCCACACUGGAACUGAGACACGGUCCAGACUCCUACGGGAGGCAGCAGUGGGGAAUAUUGCACAAUGGAGGAAACUCUGAUGCAGCGACGCCGCGUGAGUGAAGAAGGUCUUCGGAUCGUAAAACUCUGUCCUUGGUGAAGAAAAGGACGGUAGCCAAGGAGGAAGCCCCGGCUAACUACGUGCCAGCAGCCGCGGUAAUACGUAGGGGGCGAGCGUUGUCCGGAUUUACUGGGCGUAAAGGGUGAGUAGGCGGUUGUAUAUGUCAGGUGUAAAAGGCUAUGGCUUAACCAUGGUUAGCACUUGAAACUGUGCAACUUGAGUGCAGGAGAGGUAAGCGGAAUUCCUAGUGUAGCGGUGAAAUGCGUAGAUAUUAGGAGGAACACCAGUGGCGAAGGCGGCUUACUGGACUGUAACUGACGCUGAGUCACGAAAGCGUGGGUAGCAAACAGGAUUAGAUACCCUGGUAGUCCACGCUGUAAACGAUGAGUGCUAGGUGUUGGGUAGCGAUACUCAGU
RNAcentral lists this ribosomal RNA (574 nucleotides) under uncultured bacterium. Its description in RNAcentral is "bacterial SSU rRNA". It matches the Rfam family "Bacterial small subunit ribosomal RNA", at positions 249 to 844 of the family's 1533-position model. The record is from RNAcentral.